GAAGGUAUAGCUCAGUGGUAGAGCACAUGCUUAGCAUGAACACGGUCCUGGGUUCACUCCCCAGUACCUCCA
Molecule: transfer RNA, 72 nt
Organism: Camelus ferus (Wild Bactrian camel)
Lineage: Eukaryota; Metazoa; Chordata; Mammalia; Artiodactyla; Camelidae
Rfam family: tRNA
About the family: Transfer RNA (tRNA) molecules are approximately 80 nucleotides in length. Their secondary structure includes four short double-helical elements and three loops (D, anti-codon, and T loops). Further hydrogen bonds mediate the characteristic L-shaped molecular structure. tRNAs have two regions of fundamental functional importance: the anti-codon, which is responsible for specific mRNA codon recognition, and the 3' end, to which the tRNAs corresponding amino acid is attached (by aminoacyl-tRNA synthetases). tRNAs cope with the degeneracy of the genetic code in two manners: having more than one tRNA (with a specific anti-codon) for a particular amino acid; and 'wobble' base-pairing, i.e. permitting non-standard base-pairing at the 3rd anti-codon position.
Source: Rfam